UCUUCUUCCAUUCUUCCAUCCAUAGCGCCAGAUCUUCGUCCUCUUCGUUCAGACUUUAGCCAUCUUCUUCGUUCAGCAUCUUCUUCAACGAUCGUUCUUCCUUCUUCGUUCCGUAAUCCAUCCUCUUCGUUCAGACAAACUUUUUCCUCUUGGGUUGAACGAUUUCAACCGGUCAUCUUCUUCCGUAAUCUGUCCGUUGGGUUGAACGAUUUCAGUCGGUCAUCUUUUUCCUCUUCGUUCAGAUAAACUUCAGCAAUCUUCUUCCUCUUCAUUCAGACAAACUUCAGCGAACGUUCAGCCGGUCGUUACUUGCAGUUCUGUAUCGUUCUCUUCUUCUUGCUACAUGGAUUCAACGGAUAUGGAAUUUGAUGGAACUCCAACUGAUGCUUCAAAAAAUGAACGAGAUACAAAAACGGGAUGCCAAUAUAAAUAUCGUUGAUGUUGAUUCAGCAAAUGAGACAUCAGAUGUUCCAAAUCCACCAAAAAGAAGGAAGGUUGUGAAAAAAUCCAUGAUUUGGGAUCAUUUUGAGAGGCUAAAAGGUGAUCCUAAAGACCCUCAUGCUCAAUAUAAGUAUUAUAGAGUUGUCUAUGCAUGUCAUUCUAAACGUAAUAGUACUGAAACUAUGAAGAAUCAUUUGAAAAAUUGUAAAAAAUACCCUUACUAGAAAAAGAGAUCUAACCCAAAUGACAUUAGCUUUCAAAAUUAAAGACAAAAACAAUGUUGGGGAUAAUAUGUCGCAACUUGUAUGUGAGUCAUAUAGUUUAGAGAGUUUUCGGGAAGCGUUGGUUGAAAUGGUAAUUGUUGAUGAAUUGCCAUUCAAGUUUGUGGAGGGUAAAGGAUUUAAGAAAUUUGUCGAUAGAUUAACAUGUGCAAGUCAACCUAGAUUUGUUGUUCCAUCUCGGUUUACUGUGGCUACAGAUGUGCUUAAGUUGUAUGUUAAUGAGAAAAAGCGUUUGAAAUACAUGUUUGUUAACAAGAAGUAUAAAGUUUCUCUCACUACGGAUUGUUGGACAUCAAGACAAAAUAUAAAUUACAUGGUACUAACUGUCAAUUUCAUAGAUUUUGAUUGGAGAUUACAUAUAAGGAUACUUAGUUUUUGUCCAAUUGAGAAUCAUAAAGGUGAUGUUAUUGGUAAAACCAUUGAAAAGAAUUUGAAGGAUUGGGGCAUUGAAAGGGUAAUGACUUUAAUGGUUGAUAAUGCAAGUUUGAAUGAUACUGCCAUUGCUUAUCUUCUGAAAAGAUUUAAUAAGGGAUUAUUGUUUGGUGGAGAAUUUCUGCAUGUUCGUUGUUGUGCUCAUAUAUUAAAUCUCAUAAUAUGUGAUGAUUUUAAUGAACAUAAUGAUUGCAUUGAAAGGAUUCGAUAUGUUGUACGAUUUAGAAGAUCUUCUUUUGCACAUUUUUUGAAAUUUAAAAAGUGCAUUGAAAUUGAAAAAAUUUCUUGUAAGAGUUAUGUAUGUCUUGAUGUUCCCACUAGAUGGAACUCUACAUAUUUGAUGCUUGAGGAGCUGUGAGGUUUGAAAAGGCUUUUGAUAGAUUAGAAGAUGAAGAUGCUUCUUAUAGACACGAUUUGUCACCAAAUAAAGAAGAUUGGACAAAUGCUAAGAUGUUGAUUAGGUUUUUAAAGGUCUUUUAUGAUGUGACGUUGAAAAUUUCAGGGUCUUUGUACACCACUUUGAAUAUGGUUUUUCAUCAGAUUACAAUGGUUCAGAAUUGUAUACGUUUGAAUAUUGGUAGUGCAAAUGCAAUGCUAGUUGGAAUGGCCAAUAACAUGAAGGCCAAAUUUGAGAAGUAUUGGGGGAACAAUGAAAAAAAUAAUCUAUUGUUGUAUGUUGUUAUUGUGCUAGAUCCUCAAAAAGAGUUAAGGUUUGUAUCUUUUUGCCUUAAAUUUUUUUUUUUUUUUUUUUUUUUUGGGGCCAGAGGUUCCCAAAUCUAUGGGAAAUGUAGUGGAGCAAUGUUGUAAACUCUCUUUCAUGAGUAUAGUACUACUCAGAGUGGGAGGGGGAGUGGGAUUGGGAAUAGUACUACUAAUACACCAAUUGUCUCAGCCUCAGAGACCAUGAUUGAUUGUGAUCCAACUGAAAAUGUGGGUAAAGACUUUGUCUAUGAUACAAUUGAUAUGGAUUUUGAAGGCAAUGAGACUACACCUUUCGAACAGGGGUUAGAGAUUGAUAUUUAUUUGUUGGAAGCUAAUGUUAAGAAUGAAGGUGAUUUUGACAUACUUCAAUGGUGGAAGAUGAACAGUCAUCGGUUUGAGGUUUUUAGUCGUAUGGCUAGAGAUAUUUUGGCAAUUCCAGUAUCUACUAUAGCGUCUGAGUCAACUUUUAGUACAUGAGGACGUGUUGUUGAUUCAUCACAUUGUUCAUUGACUCCGAAAACAGUGGAGGCUCUCAUUUAUACUCAAAAUUGGCUAAAUUCAGGUCCAAUAGAUCUUGAAGUUCAACAUAACGUGGAAGAAGCUUCAUUAUUUGAAGAAGGAUUCAGAGCGGUUAUGGACAAUAAAAAAAAGAUUCAAGACCUUUCAUAUUUUGAAAAGUUGUCAGUUACCGAUUAAGUAUUUAUCAUUUGAUUUUAUUGUAAU
Molecule: non-coding RNA, 2579 nt
Organism: Benincasa hispida (wax gourd)
Lineage: Eukaryota; Viridiplantae; Streptophyta; Magnoliopsida; Cucurbitales; Cucurbitaceae
Source: RefSeq, a predicted model, not a curated record